Sphingomonas sp. Leaf357 is the source of this 73-nucleotide regulatory RNA element. It matches the Rfam family "chrB-a RNA". Lineage: Bacteria; Pseudomonadati; Pseudomonadota; Alphaproteobacteria; Sphingomonadales; Sphingomonadaceae. The record is from Rfam.
GGAAUGGGGAUACGAGUUCCCCAUGAGGCGACGGCCGAAGCAUCGUGUCCACCAUCAUCCCGGACGCAUCAUG